GCUCCUACGGGAGGCAGCAGUGGGGGAUAUUGCACAAUGGGGGGAACCCUGAUGUAGCGACGCCGCGUGGGUGAAGGAGCGUUUCGGCGCGUAAAGCCCUAUCGGCAGGGAAGAAGGAGGACGGUACCUGACUAAGAAGCCCCGGCUAACUACGUGCCAGCAGCCGCGGUAAUACGUAGGGGGCAAGCGUUAUCCGGAUUUACUGGGUGUAAAGGGGGCGCAGACGGCAGCGCAAGCCAGGAGUGAAAGCCCGCGGCCCAACCGCGGGACUGCAUUGGGAACUACCGGGCUGG
RNAcentral lists this ribosomal RNA (293 nucleotides) under uncultured bacterium. RNAcentral's name for it is "partial 16S ribosomal RNA". It matches the Rfam family "Bacterial small subunit ribosomal RNA", at positions 335 to 644 of the family's 1533-position model. The record is from RNAcentral.